RNAcentral lists this ribosomal RNA (484 nucleotides) under uncultured bacterium. RNAcentral describes it as "partial 16S ribosomal RNA". It matches the Rfam family "Bacterial small subunit ribosomal RNA", at positions 29 to 507 of the family's 1533-position model. The record is from RNAcentral.
AUUGAACGCUGGCGGCAUGCUUUACACAUGCAAGUCGAACGGCAGCGCGGGCUUCGGCCUGGCGGCGAGUGGCGAACGGGUGAGUAAUACAUCGGAACGUGCCCAGUAGUGGGGGAUAGCUCGGCGAAAGCCGGAUUAAUACCGCAUACGACCUGAGGGUGAAAGCGGGGGAUCUUCGGACCUCGCGCUAUUGGAGCGGCCGAUGGCAGAUUAGCUAGUUGGUGGGGUAAAGGCCUACCAAGGCGACGAUCUGUAGCUGGUCUGAGAGGACGACCAGCCACACUGGGACGGAGACACGGCCCAGACUCCUACGGGAGGCAGCAGUGGGGAAUUUUGGACAAUGGGCGAAAGCCUGAUCCAGCAAUGCCGCGUGUGUGAUGAAGGCCUUCGGGUUGUAAAGCACUUUUGGCGGGAACGAAAAGGACUGUGCCAAUACCACGGUUCGAUGACGGUACCCGCAGAAUAAGCACCGGCUAACUACGUG